UACGUAGGGUCCGAGCGUUGUCCGGAAUUACUGGGCGUAAAGAGCUCGUAGGCGGUUUGUCGCGUCGACUGUGAAAACCCGAGGCUUAACCUCGGGCCUGCAGUCGAUACGGGCAGACUAGAGUUCGGUAGGGGAGACUGGAAUUCCUGGUGUAGCGGUGAAAUGCGCAGAUAUCAGGAGGAACACCGGUGGCGAAGGCGGGUCUCUGGACAGCUCCUGACGCUGAGGCGCGAAGGCUAGGGGAGCAAACGGG
Molecule: ribosomal RNA, 253 nt
Filed under: uncultured bacterium
Lineage: Bacteria
Description: partial 16S ribosomal RNA
Rfam family: Bacterial small subunit ribosomal RNA
Source: RNAcentral